Non-coding RNA from Dipodomys ordii (Ord's kangaroo rat), 65 nucleotides. The record is from Rfam. NCBI's taxonomy places the organism in Eukaryota, Metazoa, Chordata, Mammalia, Rodentia, Heteromyidae.
GGUGGCUCAGUGGUAGAGCACUUGCUUUGCAGGCAUGAGGCCCUGGGUUCGAUUCCUUAGCACCA